GACGAACGCUGGCGGCGUGCUUAACACAUGCAAGUCGAACGGAAAGGCCCUGCUUUUGUGGGGUGCUCGAGUGGCGAACGGGUGAGUAACACGUGAGUAACCUGCCCUUGACUUUGGGAUAACUUCAGGAAACUGGGGCUAAUACCGGAUAGGAGCUCCUGCUGCAUGGUGGGGGUUGGAAAGUUUCGGCGGUUGGGGAUGGACUCGCGGCUUAUCAGCUUGUUGGUGGGGUAGUGGCUUACCAAGGCUUUGACGGGUAGCCGGCCUGAGAGGGUGACCGGCCACAUUGGGACUGAGAUACGGCCCAGACUCCUACGGGAGGCAGCAGGGGGGAAUAUUGCACAAUGGGCGGAAGCCUGAUGCAGCAACGCCGCGUGCGGGAUGACGGCCUUCGGGUUGUAAACCGCUUCCGCCUGUGACGAAGCGUGAGUGACGGUAAUGGGUAAAGAAGCACCGGCUAACUACGUG
Molecule: ribosomal RNA, 468 nt
Filed under: uncultured bacterium
Lineage: Bacteria
Description: partial 16S ribosomal RNA
Rfam family: Bacterial small subunit ribosomal RNA
Source: RNAcentral